GGGGUUGUGGCUCAGUGGUAGAGCACUUGCCUAGAAUAUAUGAGGCACUGGGUUCUAUCCUCAACACCA
This 69-nucleotide transfer RNA is filed under the name Marmota monax (woodchuck). It matches the Rfam family "tRNA". From Rfam's summary of the family: Transfer RNA (tRNA) molecules are approximately 80 nucleotides in length. Their secondary structure includes four short double-helical elements and three loops (D, anti-codon, and T loops). Lineage: Eukaryota; Metazoa; Chordata; Mammalia; Rodentia; Sciuridae. The record is from Rfam by way of RNAcentral.